This 253-nucleotide ribosomal RNA is filed under the name uncultured bacterium. RNAcentral describes it as "partial 16S ribosomal RNA". It matches the Rfam family "Bacterial small subunit ribosomal RNA", at positions 524 to 776 of the family's 1533-position model. The record is from RNAcentral.
GACAGAGGAGCCAAGCGUUGUCCGGAUUGACUGGGCGUAAAGCGCACGCAGGCGGCCCGGCGCGUGGGGUGUGAAAGCUGGCGGCUUAACUGCCAGACGCCAUCCCAUACGGCUGGGCUCGAGCCCUGCAGAGGUCCAUGGAAUUGCCGGUGUAGUGGUGAAGUGCGUAGAGAUCGGCAGGAACACCCAGGGGGAAACCAGUGGACUGGGCAGGAGCUGACGCUCAGGUGCGAAAGCGUGGGGAGCGAACCGG